CACAAGCGGCGGAGCAUGCGGAUUAAUCGAUGCAACGCGAAGACCUUACCAAGGCUUGACAUACACCGGUAACGCCCAGAGAUGGGUGCCCCUUUGUGGUCGGUGUACAGGUGGUGCAUGGUUGUCGUCAGCUCGUGUCGUGAGAUGUUGGGUUAAGUCCCGCAACGAGCGCAACCCUCGUCCUAUGUUGCCAGCGGGUCAUGCCGGGGACUCAUGGGAGACUGCCGGGGUCAACUCGGAGGAAGGUGGGAUGACGUCAAAUCAUCAUGCCCCUUAUGUCUUGGGCUUCACGCAUGCUACAAUGGCCGGUACAAAGGGCUGCGAUACCGCGAGGUGGAGCGAAUCCCAGAAAGCCGGUCUCAGUUCGGAUUGGAGUCUGCAACUCGACUCCAUGAAGUUGGAAUCGCUAGUAAUCGCGGAUCAGCAUGCCGCGGUGAAUACGUUCCCGGGCCUU
RNAcentral lists this ribosomal RNA (454 nucleotides) under uncultured Curtobacterium sp. RNAcentral's name for it is "bacterial SSU rRNA". It matches the Rfam family "Bacterial small subunit ribosomal RNA", at positions 924 to 1382 of the family's 1533-position model. The record is from RNAcentral. Lineage: Bacteria; Bacillati; Actinomycetota; Actinomycetes; Micrococcales; Microbacteriaceae.